CUGUGUGCGGGCAGCGCGGCCGCCCUCCGGUACAGAGCUGCUUCGGCUGGCUUAGCUGCAUUUGGGUGCAUCGUGAUAGAAAUUCAUCAUUCAAAUGCAGUCGUAGGACCGUUUUAAAGUCAGUGAGGAAGUAAAUGGCUUACUUAGUGUUUGCCUGUCACCUAUUAGAUCUACAGCUACAUUUUGAUAAAUAACCUACUAAGUCCUGUAAGUAGCUCAGAGAG
Molecule: long non-coding RNA, 224 nt
Filed under: Meleagris gallopavo (turkey)
Lineage: Eukaryota; Metazoa; Chordata; Aves; Galliformes; Phasianidae
Description: lncRNA (ENSMGAG00000022436.1)
Source: RNAcentral